RNAcentral lists this ribosomal RNA (50 nucleotides) under Trichophyton rubrum. RNAcentral's name for it is "partial 28S ribosomal RNA". The record is from RNAcentral. Lineage: Eukaryota; Fungi; Ascomycota; Eurotiomycetes; Onygenales; Arthrodermataceae.
UUGACCUCGNAUCAGGUAGGGAUACCCGCUGAACUUAAGCAUAUCAAUAA